UACGAAGGGGGCUAGCGUUGUUCGGAAUUACUGGGCGUAAAGCGCGCGCAGGCGGUCUUCCAAGUCAGUGGUGAAAGCCCGGAGCUCAACUCCGGAACUGCCAUUGAAACUGUAAGACUUGAGGAUGAGAGAGGUGAGUGGAAUUCCCAGUGUAGAGGUGAAAUGCGUAGAGAUCGGGAGGAACACCCGUGGCGAAGGCGGCUCACUGGGCCGGUCCUGACGCUGAGACGCGAAGGCGUGGGGAGCGAACGGG
This 253-nucleotide ribosomal RNA is filed under the name uncultured bacterium. RNAcentral's name for it is "partial 16S ribosomal RNA". It matches the Rfam family "Bacterial small subunit ribosomal RNA", at positions 524 to 776 of the family's 1533-position model. The record is from RNAcentral.